CAGCAGCCGCGGUAAUACCGGCGGCUCGAGUGGUGGCCACUAUUACUGGGCUUAAAGCGUUCGUAGCUGGUUUGUUAAGUCUCUGGGGAAAUCUUCCGGCUUAACCGGAAGGCGUCUCAGGGAUACUGGCAGACUAGGGACCGGAAGAGGUGAGAGGUACUCCAGGGGUAGGAGUGAAAUCCUGUAAUCCUUGGGGGACCACCUGUGGCGAAGGCGUCUCACCAGGACGGCUCCGACAGUGAGGGACGAAAGCUGGGGGAGCAAACCGGAUUAGAUACCCGGGUAGUCCCAGCCGUAAACGAUGUGCAUUAGGUGUAUCGGUGACCACGAGUCACCGAGGUGCCGAAGAGAAAUCGUGAAAUGCACCGCCUGGGAAGUACGGUCGCAAGGCUGAAACUUAAAGGAAUUGGCGGGGGAGCACCACAACAGGUGGAGCCUGCGGUUUAAUCGGACUCAACGCCGGGAAACUCACCAGAUAAGACAGCUGAAUGAUAGUCGGGCUGAAGACUCUACUUGACUAGCUGAGAGGUGGUGCAUGGCC
RNAcentral lists this ribosomal RNA (541 nucleotides) under uncultured archaeon. RNAcentral describes it as "bacterial SSU rRNA". It matches the Rfam family "Archaeal small subunit ribosomal RNA", at positions 459 to 999 of the family's 1478-position model. The record is from RNAcentral.